UACGUAGGGGGCAAGCGUUGUCCGGAUUUAUUGGGCGUAAAGAGCGUGUAGGCGGCCAUUCAGGUCCGUUGUGAAAACUGGAGGCUCAACCUCCAGACGUCGACGGAAACCGUAUGGCUAGAGUCCGGAAGAGGAGAGUGGAAUUCCUGGUGUAGCGGUGAAAUGCGCAGAUAUCAGGAAGAACACCAAUGGCGAAGGCAGCUCUCUGGGACGGUACUGACGCUGAGACGCGAAAGCGUGGGGAGCGAACAGG
Molecule: ribosomal RNA, 253 nt
Filed under: uncultured bacterium
Lineage: Bacteria
Description: partial 16S ribosomal RNA
Rfam family: Bacterial small subunit ribosomal RNA
Source: RNAcentral